GAUGAACGCUAGCUACAGGCUUAACACAUGCAAGUCGAGGGGAAACGACAUCGAAAGCUUGCUUUUGAUGGGCGGCGACCGGCGCACGUGUGAGUAACGCGUAUCCAACCUGCCCAUCACUUGGGAAUAACCUUGCGAAAGUAAUACUAAUACCCAAUGACAUCCCCCGAAGACAUCUGAAUGGGAUGAAAGUUUUAUCGGUGAUGGAUGGGGAUGCGUCUGAUUAGCUUGUUGGCGGGGUAACGGCCCACCAAGGCAACGAUCAGUAGGGGUUCUGAGAGGAAGGUCCCCCACAUUGGAACUGAGACACGGUCCAAACUCCUACGGGAGGCAGCAGUGAGGAAUAUUGGUCAAUGGGCGAGAGCCUGAACCAGCCAAGUAGCGUGCAGGAUGACGGCCCUAUGGGUAGUAAACUGCUUUUAUAAGGGAAUAAAGUGGGUAUCGUGAGACUUUUUGCAUGUACCUUAUGAAUAAGGACCGGCUAAUUCCGUG
Molecule: ribosomal RNA, 492 nt
Filed under: uncultured bacterium
Lineage: Bacteria
Description: partial 16S ribosomal RNA
Rfam family: Bacterial small subunit ribosomal RNA
Source: RNAcentral